UGAGCAAUCUGCCCUUCUCAUCGGAAUAAGCGUUGGAAACGACGUCUAAUGCCGAAUACGACCUCCUUUCGCAUGAUCGGAGGUGGAAAGCUCCGGCGGAGAAGGAUGAGCUCGCGGCCUAUCAGCUAGUUGGUGUGGGUAAUGGCCCACCAAGGCGACGACGGGUAGCCGGCCUGGAGAGGGUGACCGGCCACACUGGGACUGAGACACCGGCCCAGACCUCCGUACGGGAANCAG
This 237-nucleotide ribosomal RNA is filed under the name uncultured bacterium. Its description in RNAcentral is "partial 16S ribosomal RNA". It matches the Rfam family "Bacterial small subunit ribosomal RNA", at positions 118 to 351 of the family's 1533-position model. The record is from RNAcentral.